Molecule: ribosomal RNA, 465 nt
Filed under: uncultured bacterium
Lineage: Bacteria
Description: partial 16S ribosomal RNA
Rfam family: Bacterial small subunit ribosomal RNA
Source: RNAcentral
CCUACGGGUGGCAGCAGUGGGGAAUAUUGCGCAAUGGGCGAAAGCCUGACGCAGCGACGCCGCGUGAGGGAUGAAGGUCUUCGGAUCGUAAACCUCUGUCAGCAGGGAAGAACGGUCACUGUGCUAAUCAGCAGUGAAUUGACGGUACCUGCAAAGGAAGCACCGGCUAACUCCGUGCCAGCAGCCGCGGUAAUACGGAGGGUGCGAGCGUUAAUCGGAAUUACUGGGCGUAAAGCGCUCGUAGGCGGUAUGUCAAGUCUAGGGGGAAAUCCCCGGGCUCAACCUGGGAACUGCCUUUGAAACUGGCAAACUGGAGUGAGUGAGAGGAUAGUGGAAUUCCAGGUGUAGGAGUGAAAUCCGUAGAUAUCUGGAGGAACAUCAGUGGCGAAGGCGACUAUCUGGCACAUAACUGACGCUGAGGAGCGAAAGCGUGGGUAGCAAACAGGAUUAGAUACCCCUGUAGUC